Molecule: long non-coding RNA, 2672 nt
Filed under: Homarus americanus (American lobster)
Lineage: Eukaryota; Metazoa; Arthropoda; Malacostraca; Decapoda; Nephropidae
Description: uncharacterized LOC121875065
Source: RNAcentral
CGGCACUCGAGAAGACGGAAGCUCCGAGUACACGACGUUAAAGAUUAACGGAUAGUUUGACGACUAUACCACCCCUUGUUCCCUCUACCUCCAGCUAAAUGUAUCCCUCCCUCCACUUACCACUCUUCCUUUCCUCAUCUAUUAUCUUUCCCUUCCACCCCUCUAUCCCCCCUCCCUUUCUUCACGUACCAUUCUUCCUUUCCUUAUCUAUUAUCCUUCCCUUCCACCCCUCUAUCCCUUCCCUCCACAUACCACCUUUCUCUCCUACCACCUGUCGUUCCUUUUUUGUGUUUUAUUUAAUAAGUUUUAUAGUAUAUGAUGGUCACCUUAUUAAUAAUGUAACAUUUUGUGUGAUUACAAUUACACUACACACACUUAGUCGAAGUGACCAGUUAUUAGUGUUGAUAUUAAUGGGAUAAAUAUUAGAUAAGUUUAUUGGAGUUUGCUAUAAAAUAUGUGACUAUAAUUAUAAAUUGUGAGUGUGAAGAAGGGUUUAUAAGUUGUAUAUAUGUCAAUUAGAGGAACAAAUAAUUUGCUAACCACACCCUAGUCCUUCAAUGGAAAACGCAUCGAAAUGCGCAGCGGCGAAUGCAUUCGGCGGGAGAAUAAUGCGGCGACACGCGUAGAAUACUCGUACGCCACUCUCGGGCACGUACGUUUCCAUUUACUAAAGUUAGGUGGGUUUGUUUGGGUGGCGUGGGACCCAGAGGGCAUCGGCAGGCGGUCGCGUCCGGCGGUUGCCGUGCGAGAAAUUGGGAGGACGGGCUUUCACGUUGCAGAAACUAAGGAACGGCAUCUUCCGGCGGAACCACAGCCCGCGAUUAAAGGAACGCUCGGGUUUGACGCCCACGGACCGAGCGCGCGGCUCCUCCGCCGUAACAAGAGUAGUCGAUUGAAGUCCCCUCUUUUGCCUGGGUGGAUGUGUCUGUGCUAACCGUUUUAGGCAAGUGAAUGUUUGGUACAGCAGAUUUGGGGAUUCAUUGUAGGGUAGACUUGCCAUACAGUGCAGUGUUUUAAUUGGUAUUAUAUUGCGGCGAUCGGCGAGCACGGAGACCGAAGCCUCACUCGACCGUGUCUCGGGAGGCGUGGGGUUUGGUCCGAGGCCACUCGCAGUCAUCGUCGAGGGUAUAGUCCGGAACGCCGUUCGACGUGACGUCUCGUCGAAAUUCCGGAGCGGUCUUCUCGUCGCGGGGCGCGCCGGAGGUCGACGCUACGACGUUCCCGGAGGGGUCGUCGUCGUCGUCGGGUAUUUGACGUGCAUCCGGAGUAGAACGAGGGCACGCGUCGAACCGUCGAAAGUGCGCAAGAAAUGAGAUCGCGUAAAUAACUGCAGAUUAAUUUCGUCGACACUCGUACGUAUAAAAGUGCAAAGUAAAUAAAUAAUACGUAUUUUUUUUAUGGGAAUUAGCCCACCCGGGCACGGGUCACCGACCCACAUCGGGGCGAAAAUGUAAUAAUAAUAAUAAUAAUAAUUGUUGAAGUUACAGUGUUCAUUUUUGGUGGAUAUCAACGAAAUAUGAUGCGAGAGGCUCAGACGACGACACAAACGACGACGCUCUCUCCGGUAUAUUUUCGGGACCGUCCGUAAAAACGAAACCAAAACACGCGUGCGCAUUCAAAGUGGCGCAUUAUUGCACAAGUAAAAUAAAACAUAUUGCCAUAAAUAUGGGGUAACCUAGUUUAUAUGUAACAAUAAUACUGAAGAACCUUAAAGAAAUACAAAAUGGAAAAAAAAAUCAAAAGUGAGGAACAAUAGAUUUAUGUUGUGUUGUCAAUAGUAAGAGAAACAAUCGAGACAGAGUCAGACGAGCGACCCGGGACUCGGUCACAAUUUUAGGGAUGCCACGUAGCAGGAAGAUCUACCACGGACGACACAUUACGCUUCCAAUAUUGUCUGCGGAGGUGGUAUCUCCCCGUUUGGUGGCUGCCUAAGUAUGUAAGAUUUUCCAAUGGAAAGUGUAUGUUUGGCAAAUGUAUCCAGGUCUUUAGAGAAUGUACUCAGAUAUUUGGGUUAGGUGUCAAGGGUUCAUGUAUAAUUUGCAUGCCUAAUUGACUAUGUAUAUUUUUUAACCUUAAUUUUUCAUUUGCAGUCACCCGACGGGAGUCAGAAACGUCAUUUUUGUGCGGACCGGCGACUCGACGGACCCCGGCCGAGGACGCCGCUCGAACCGCGGUUGCGGAGGAGCGCGCCGAUACGAGUCGGAGACGGCUCGUACAGUCGGCGCACGAGAGCGGUCCGGACGAAGACAUUCGGGAACCGAGGACGAAGACGCUCGUCGACUGCGGACGAAGACACCGGUCGACGCGCGAGGAAGAUGCUCCGGAACACGGGAAGAACGCCACACUCCCGAGUGCGGGAAGACACUCGUCAACGCAGAAGGAGACACGCAUCAAUGUCGGGCCGGCGCGAUUGUUUUAAAGACGAUUUAACGUGUAAAAUGAAUGUACGUGUUGUUUGUAACGAUUGUUAUAAUGUUUGUAGUAUUGUUUUUAGAGACCGACUCUGCGAAGACGGAGGAAGUCGAUACAUGUCGAGAAUGAAUUUAUUGAAGAUGUUGCCUGUGAUCACUAGGUGUUUGCACUAAUUUGGGGAGAUGAUUACGAUCGUAGAACGUCACGGAAUGCGGCGCGCACGUCAUUUGUGGCGGGACGCAUCCGUAAAUAACGGCAGC